Molecule: ribosomal RNA, 170 nt
Filed under: Plasmodium gonderi
Lineage: Eukaryota; Apicomplexa; Aconoidasida; Haemosporida; Plasmodiidae
Description: 5.8S ribosomal RNA
Rfam family: 5.8S ribosomal RNA (bases 2-147)
About the family: 5.8S ribosomal RNA (5.8S rRNA) is a component of the large subunit of the eukaryotic ribosome. It is transcribed by RNA polymerase I as part of the 45S precursor that also contains 18S and 28S rRNA. Functionally, it is thought that 5.8S rRNA may be involved in ribosome translocation.
Source: RNAcentral
CAACUUUAACGAUGGAUGUCUCGGUUCCUACAGCGAUGAAGGCCGUAGCAAAAUACGAUAAGCAAUGAAACUUGCAUGUAUCUCUGUGAAUCAUCAUCAGAACGCUGAAUGUAAACUACACACCAAUUUACCCUUUUUAAAGAGUAUAUAAUUUGGUAGUACUUCUAUUA